UUUUUUUUGGAGAGAUAGGUAGCACGCUACCCGCUUCGUUUAUUUCAUUUAGAAAUAAACUUAGCUAAAAUGUGAAUCAAAUAGAAUUCGAACAUGGGUCUCGGGUACCAACCACCAAACCCUUUGCCACUUGUCUAGGGACGGUCGAUAAAAAGAAAGUUUGUUGAUCCCGUAUACUUCAGCCUUGUUGGAUGUGGGAAUAAGUUAUUCUUGAAUAACGUAUUUGGCAUUUAGUUUUUCUACUGUGUGAUUAGAAGCAAAAAGUUAAUUUGACUUUUAUUUUUUGAAAGGUCUUGUUCUUCAUGAUUUUGUAGGAUAAUAUAUUUCACCUACAAGAUGAUUUAUUUUAUUUUAAAAAAUUGACUAGAAAAUGAAAUAAGUUAUUCUAUUCUAUAUGUUUGAUUUUAUUUUUUAUCUACCAAAUAUUAUUAUUUUUUGAGUAAAUUAAAAGCAUAUUCAGAAUAAGAUAUUCUUGCAUUCAAAUAAAGCAUUGUAAGGACUGAGAUUUUUGCAGUGUAGCUAAACUCUCAGUUGACGAUAUUUUUGUGUGUAAUUUAAUUACAAAAGCACUCGUCAAGUUUCGGGCGAAAACGAGUUAAAACGGAAAUUCUACGCGAUUUCCAAGUUUCACUUAAAGUGAAUAGUAACUCGAUUUUUUCCGGAGAAGCCGCGGUGAGAAGUUGGUUUCUGGCACGUACCGGACUCUGUUCAUAGCAGUCCAAUAGCUCGUUUCGACCGGGUCAGCUGUUCUGGAACUAAUGACGCUGACGGAUUUUGAGUUUGACGCAUGGAUUUCGAGAAAAUCUAAAAAUACAUGUUUUAUAUGUAUUUAGGUGUGUUUUUCUUCUGUUGAAGGAAGGUUAGAUUUUGUCGUGAAUCCGUGGUCGAUCAAGACGAAACGAAAUCGCAGCUUUGUUGUCUCCGCCGUACUGAUCGCACUGGUGCAAUCCGUUCGCAAAUCUGACGGACGGAUCUGCGGAGAUUGCGCGUUGAUCGAGGAGAGGUCGGUAGUGGCAAAACGGUAUUUUCGCGAAAGUCGCGAUAUUUUAUGUACCGUUUUGCGUGAGAUCGCACGUGGAGGGGUAUUCUUGCGUUUUAGUCGUACUGUGAGGAUCUCGGAUUGAAAUUUUGAUG
Molecule: long non-coding RNA, 1134 nt
Filed under: Ananas comosus (pineapple)
Lineage: Eukaryota; Viridiplantae; Streptophyta; Magnoliopsida; Poales; Bromeliaceae
Description: long non-coding RNA (ACOM_LNC037594)
Source: RNAcentral